Sorghum bicolor (sorghum) is the source of this 1690-nucleotide long non-coding RNA. RefSeq lists it as uncharacterized. The transcript is spliced from 2 exons. The record is from RefSeq and is a predicted model, not a curated record. Lineage: Eukaryota; Viridiplantae; Streptophyta; Magnoliopsida; Poales; Poaceae.
AAAUCCGCAUGCGUAUCACGCGAAAAAAAGAGUCUCUGUCCACAGAUUCCUCCAUAGGUCGGCAAGCGCGGGGCGCGGCACCGACUCCGACUCCAUCGGGGAACCGUCCUCCACCAAACCGACCUGACCUGUGCCGCCUAUAAAUCCAACCCACCCCGGCGGCCUUCUUCCUUUCGUUGAUAGAUAGAUGAACCGCGUGGUCGGGAUCCCUCUUCCUUCCUUCCUUCCCUGUUCUCUCGUCGGUGCGCCAUGGGGGUGGAUGGGUAAGUGGUAGGUAAGGCGCAGUUGUUGUUGGUUUCGAUCUGACGCGUCUCUCUGUUUCUCGAAUUCAUAAGGUGUGACGGACUGAACUAGCCGGAUGGAUGGAUCCAUUUCUUUUAGGUUAUUAUGCUGUUGUUUACGAUGACUAGGGCUGUGCAGUUAUUUUGAUUCGAUUGCCGUUCAUUCUGGUGGGAGGAUAAGGCGUCUCGGUUGGUGAUCUGUUGAUAGCACUUUGUGUUGAGUCAGAUCUAUUUGAUUGGUUAGCCUGGAUGUUUUUGGCAUGAUCGGAUCAAGAUGAAUUGAAGGGUGUGUGGUUUUUGGUUCGUCCAUGCUGUGAUCUGUUCAGUUGCUGUGAUCUGUUUCAGUUGAAGGUUGUUGAUUGGCUGCUUGUAUCUCUUCUUCCUUAGGAUGCUGAUUUUGUGGCAAAAACCAGUGCCUGUUGGUUGUUAUAGGAAACUAUACUGGACUGCUCAGAAUUCUGCACUGUUUGGUCCUGAUCGUGUAUCCCUCGUGAUGUUGUCAGUCUAGUCACAAGAUUUCUUAGGUCAACUCAGAACUUUUUAUGGAGAUACGAUUUAGCAUGUCAUAUUUGGAGCAAGUUAUAUAAUCAGAUGAGUACUAUCAGAUUAUUUGAAAGCCUUGCAACUAAAAAUCACAUCCUGAAGUUCUUGUGGUUUUAGUAGAUAUAAGUUGCUUCAAUGGGAGCCAGAACAGUUCAUUUAGAGCUGAUAUGAAUGAUCACGGAGAUGAUUAUACAAUUGUACUCUUCAGUACCACUUUUUGAUAAAUUCAAUUUGGUGGUUUCUUUUAAGGAGACAGGGAGAGUUUGAUUUCAUAUAAGGCUUACAUCCUCAAGUUCAUGUGCUUUUAAAUAAGUUGGCUUUCUUUGGGAGUGAAAACAGUUCAUUUAGAGCUAAUAUAGACAUAGUCAUGGAGAUGGUUCUACAAUUCUCUUCAAUAUCAAAAUGAUCAAUUCAAAUUUGGCGGUUCCUUUUAAGAUUACAUGGAUGGAUUCAGAGUUUGAUUUGCUUCUCUAAGGUUUAAUUUAAUGCUAGGUUGUGAACAGGAUUAUAGAAGUGUGCCUGUUCGAAGCUUCAUUUGAGUAAGAUAUAUGGAGGAAUACUUAAGUUGUGGCUGCUUUGCUAAUUUACUGUUGGUAUUAGUUUCUCUGGUGGUAUCAUGAGGCCUUCUGUAUAAUUCCUACUUCCAUGGGUCUUCUAUUUCUCAGGCACAAUUAGUAGUGGACAUGACUUUUAGGCUUCUGUUACUGGAUUAUGUGCUCAUUCAGAGUGUUGUAGAGAUCUUCAAUUUUGUUGGUUCAGUAGAACUGUAAUAUAUGUACAUGUAUGAUGGUGAAAUAUAUUUUUGCCUAGAGCUGUAAUUAUUAUAUGAUAUGGAUAUAUGGAUAUUGGUAUAGAACUUGGCACAA